Molecule: long non-coding RNA, 783 nt
Organism: Triplophysa dalaica
Lineage: Eukaryota; Metazoa; Chordata; Actinopteri; Cypriniformes; Nemacheilidae
Exons: 4
Source: RefSeq, a predicted model, not a curated record
UUUGAUCUAUAUUUCAGAGUUUUUGUGAAUUUGUAAUUAAUCUUUAGGCUUUUGUGAGCUUUGGUUCGUGUGAGCUUCGUUUCGUGUUAGCUUUUCUUAGCUUUUUUUCGCGUGAGCUUCGUUUCAUGAAAGCUUUUGUUAGCGUCUUUCAAAUAUGAGUUGCCUGUGUGACGCAGCAGAAACUGUUAACGUCACAUGAACUUCAUGAAGACAGGAGGAAGAAUCUGUCAUGCGUCUGUGAGCAAAAGUGGAUUUUACAUUUUGAGAAGAGUGUUCAACUGAUCGAUACGGUUUUACAAUCUGAUGACAUGACAAUCCAGUGCUAAAGUCAAUCUCUGAGCAACCAGCGCUGGAUGUUGAGUUUGGAGGGUCAAGUUGUGUGUGAAGGAGCACAGCCCACCUUCAUCACCGGCCUGGCAGCGCUGUUUGCCUCCUUCUAUAAUUUCAAUUUACAGUACCAGGAAGAGGCAGCAUGCACCCUUGAGUUUGUUCAUAGAUGCUUUGUUGACAUCAAUCCUGAACGGGGAUCGAAAGCAAAAAAAAGAGAAGUUACUUCAAAGAAAACCGGCCAAAUUGUGCAAAGAAAGAACAACACUGUAAGCCCACCAGUUUCCUCACUUCUGCAAAAACUUGCAGACUUUGAAUGGAACUUUGUUUAGAUCCUGUCAGCAGGUAUAUUCAAAGUAAAUACUGCAUCGUUAACUCCAUUCAUAAAAAUACAACUGGGAUUUCAGCCAAUUUGCUGUUCUAUUUUUCUUUUUUUACUCUUUCUAGCACUUUCAA